GAAGCACAGUGGUUUAGACCACAGCACCACCUGCUUCCUGAAUAUACAAGCAUACAAUCACUGAUAGUUCCACCUGCCAUUGUGAGGCUCAAAGCAAUGAAGAUGAUGCCUCCCCUGCUGUUGCCAUUGGCUGUGGGUUUCUUGUGAUGUCACAGAAGCACUUGGCAACUGAAUGGAUAUAAAGGCAGGCCAAGGGGAAAGCCCUUUUCUGUUUCCAGCAGGACACACCUGGCAAUGCAGGCGACAUUCAGCUCUGCCCAGGUUUCUUCCACUUGGAGGAAGCAAACAGGUGAAUGGAAGGAGGCAAUCCUCUGGCAGUGGGAUGCUAGGAAGCGAAAAUAAGGCAAGUUUGGUUGCUUGAAGGCUGCUGGUACCUGUGGUUGGAAGCUGGUGGAGAUCUCAUGAUGGACCUAACAGUAGCUUCUGGCUCAACAGAACACCGUGACUGAAACCAGAGCACACGGAAACACCAUUUAUCUUCCUGCCACAGCAGUACCUAUUUAUCUACUUGCACUGGUGUGCUUCAAACUGCUAGGUUGGCAGAAGCUGGGAUAGAGCAAAGGGAGCUCACCCCAUUGUGCAGAUUCAAACCACCAACCUUCCGAUCCCAAAGCCCAAGAGGCUCAGUGGUUUACACCACAGCGCCUUAGAGAGAUAUAGAAUCAGUGGCUGACUACCACACAACCGGACCCCAGCUGUGCCGGUAAUUCAGGGCUGAUAUGGGGGUAAUUAGCCCUGGCAGACUCCCCGGGUUGGGGAAGGACUGUCUUGUAGACCCGCAGAUUGUCUGAGAAUGCCAACUUGCAUCAAGGUGCAAGCGGCAAGACACUGGGUCACAGAGCCAGUACGGCCGGCACUCUCCAAUGCCAUUCUCAUAGCCGGGAAUAUCUGUUUGAAAAAAUGAAUAGAUUUGGACAAUAAACAGACAUGGACUGGAUCGAAGAAGCUUUAGAAAAAACCUGCAGAAGUGUACAGUCCCUGGGGGUUUAAGCUCGGACUUCAAAAAGAUUCUCAUCAUGGUGUUUGGAUAACGGAGGUGUUUGGUAUGGGUUUUCCUCUCUCUACUUAACAUCUGCAACUGGUUUUCAAUGCCAAGCCUCAUUAAGAACUUAUUAUUUUUUAAAAAAGAGUACAGAUGGACUUCUAUUUAUAAUUAGGCAUUUAAUUGUGCAGCUUUACUUAAGACUUGAAAGACUUGAUAAAGAUGGAAGAGGAGGCAAGAUGGCGCUCACUAAUAUGACGCAGCAUGGAAGAAUAUAUUCCUCCCUUUCUUCGAGGGAAGCAGGAGUUAUGUGCUGGCUGAUUUUGCAAUGAUUUGAGAUAACAUCUUGGAACAAUACACAGUGCAGCUGUUUGCAGAAGUUUUUUAUAUUCAUUAUGAGUGAGAGAGAAGGCUAAGUGGUGUCCAGCAGCCCACCCCCAGGGCCCAGAGUGGGGAGAGUGCGGUCUCCAAAGGCUGAUCAAUCGCCAAAUGACUGAUAUUUGUGGAAUACAGUUCAUCUACACUGCAAUAUUGCAAACAGUUAACUUGGAAGGUAUUGGUUCAAUAAAGCUCAAAAGGAAGGUUUGGACAAUUAAUGACUGGGAGUUGCUGCGCCAUUAAAUUUCAGAUAACAGACUUGGACAACAUUCUGGAUUGGAAUGGAGUCAGAGGAAGCUGCGCAGUUGGAAGAAUAUAUACUAACAAAGCUGUAUUUGACGGAUGAAAGUAUAUUAUGUUUGACAUGACUGAGAAUCGUGAACUCAGGGACGGAGAAUUAUAAAGCGUCAAAAUCGAGAUGUGGAAAAUAUGGAAACAAUGAGGAGAGGCAGGACUGAGAUGUGGAGAUGCGCUUCAGAGGCCCAGACUGUGGCGAGCUCCAAAAAAUUAAUAAUCAUAAUUUGGACUAUAAUUUGGUCUUUUUUAUUUUAGUUUUUUAUUUUAAUUGGAGUGUUAUG
This 1938-nucleotide long non-coding RNA is filed under the name Podarcis lilfordi (Lilford's wall lizard). Lineage: Eukaryota; Metazoa; Chordata; Lepidosauria; Squamata; Lacertidae. The record is from RNAcentral.